This 429-nucleotide ribosomal RNA is filed under the name Chloroflexota bacterium. RNAcentral's name for it is "Chloroflexi bacterium partial 16S ribosomal RNA". It matches the Rfam family "Bacterial small subunit ribosomal RNA", at positions 355 to 776 of the family's 1533-position model. RNAcentral also lists the same sequence under 1 other name. Lineage: Bacteria; Bacillati; Chloroflexota. The record is from RNAcentral.
UAGGGAAUCUUCGGCAAUGGACGAAAGUCUGACCGAGCAACGCCGCGUGAGUGAAGAAGGUUUUCGGAUCGUAAAACUCUGUUGUUAGAGAAGAACAAGGACGUUAGUAACUGAACGUCCCCUGACGGUAUCUAACCAGAAAGCCACGGCUAACUACGUGCCAGCAGCCGCGGUAAUACGUAGGUGGCAAGCGUUGUCCGGAUUUAUUGGGCGUAAAGCGAGCGCAGGCGGUUUCUUAAGUCUGAUGUGAAAGCCCCCGGCUCAACCGGGGAGGGUCAUUGGAAACUGGGAGACUUGAGUGCAGAAGAGGAGAGUGGAAUUCCAUGUGUAGCGGUGAAAUGCGUAGAUAUAUGGAGGAACACCAGUGGCGAAGGCGGCUCUCUGGUCUGUAACUGACGCUGUGGCUCGAAAGCGUGGGGAGCAAACAGG